Bombyx mori (domestic silkworm) is the source of this 310-nucleotide long non-coding RNA. RefSeq lists it as uncharacterized. The record is from RefSeq and is a predicted model, not a curated record. The transcript has 2 exons. Lineage: Eukaryota; Metazoa; Arthropoda; Insecta; Lepidoptera; Bombycidae.
UGCUUUGUCGUUGGACGAAUCACGUGGGCUUAAGACACACAAUUUUCGUUCCUGAUAAAGCUUUUCUGUAAACAUGGCUUUCCAUAAAAAUGGCAAAGUCAAGGUCAUGAACAACAUAAGCACGCGAAAUACUUAACCAGUACAAAGACAUGUAUUUAAACAGUUUCACUAAUUAGCGAUCUACAUAAUAAUAUGUUUACAAAUUUGACGACCUCGUCACAAGUAGUUUGCAUACCUAUGUGGAUUAUAAUAAUUUAGAUUUGCUAUUUUUAACCUUUAAUUUCGUACUUAAAUAUAAUUUUAAAUAUAA